CUGGUUUUGGUGGAGACGGGGUUUCGCUGUGUUGGCCGGGCCGGUCUCCAGCCCCUAACCGCGAGUGAUCCGCCAGCCUCGGCCUCCCGAGGUGCCGGGAUUGCAGACGGAGUCUCGUUCACUCAGUGCUCAAUGGUGCCCAGGCUGGAGUGCAGUGGCGUGAUCUCGGCUCACUACAACCUACACCUCCCAGCCGCCUGCCUUGGCCUCCCAAAGUGCUGAGAUUGCAGCCUCUGCCCGGCCGCCACCCCGUCUGGGAAGUGAGGAGUGUCUCUGCCUGGCCGCCCAUCGUCUGGGAUGUGAGGAGCCCCUCUGCCUGGCUGCCCAGUCUGGAAAGUGAGGAGCGUCUCCGCCCUGCCGCCAUCCCAUCUAGGAAGUGAGGAGCGCCUCUUCCCGGCCGCCAUCACAUCUAGGAAGUGAGGAGCGUCUCUGCCCGGCCGCCCAUUGUCUGAGAUGUGGGGAGCGCCUCUGCCCCGCCGCCCCAUCUGGGAUAUGAGGAGCGCCUCUGCCCGGCAGCGACCCCGUCUGGGAGGUGAAGAGCGUCUCUGCUCGGCCGCCCCGUCUGAGAAGUGAGGAGACCCUCUGCCUGGCAACCACCCCGUCUGAGAAGUGAGGAGCCCCUCCGUCCGGCAGCUGCCCCGUCUGAGAAGUGAGGAGCCUCUCCGCCCGGCAGCCACCCCAUCUGGGAAGUGAGGAGAGUCUCCGCCCGGCAGCCACCCCAUCCGGGAGGGAGAUGGGGGGGUCAGCCCCUCGCCCGAUCAGCCGCCCCGUCCAGGAGGGAGGUGGGGGGGUCAGCCCCCCGCCCGGCCAGCCGCCCCGUCGGGGAGGGAGGUUGGGGGGUCAGCCCCCCGCCCGGCCAGCCGCCCCGUCCGGGAGGGAGGUGGGGGGGUCAGCCCCCCGCCCGGCCAGCCGCCCCGUCUGGGAGGUGAGGGGCACCUCUGCCCGGCCACCACCCCGUCUGGGAGGUGUACCCAACAGCUCAUUGAGAACGGGCCAGGAUGACAAUGGCGGCUUUGUGGAAUAGAAAGGCGGGAAAGGUGGGGAA
This 1045-nucleotide long non-coding RNA is filed under the name Homo sapiens (human). RNAcentral describes it as "HSALNT0368516". The record is from RNAcentral. Lineage: Eukaryota; Metazoa; Chordata; Mammalia; Primates; Hominidae.